AACGAACGCUGGCGGCACGUUUUAAGCAUGCAAGUCGAAUGGCAGCAGGGGGCAACUCUGUGAGAAUGGCGAACGGGUGAGUAACACGUAGGUGAUCUGCCUUGAGGAUGGGGAUAGCCUGUGGAAACACAGGGUAAUACCGAAUGAGCUGACGAGACUUUGGUUUUGUUAGUAAAGGUGCUACGGCACCGCCUUGAGAGGAGCCUGCGGCUGAAUAGCUAGUUGGUGGGGUAAGAGCUUACCAAGGCGACGAUCAGUAGCCGGCCUGAGAGGGUGUACGGCCACACUGGAACUGAGACACGGUCCAGACUCCUACGGGAGGCAGCAGCUAAGAAUCUUCCGCAAUGGGCGAAAGCCUGACGGAGCGAUGCCGCGUGAUCGAUGAAGGUCGAGAGAUUGUAAAGAUCUUUUCUACAUGAGGAAUAAGUCUGGGAGGGAAUGCCCGGAUGAUGACGUUAGUGUAGGAAUAAGCCCCGGCUAAUUACGUGCCAGCCGCCGCUGUAA
RNAcentral lists this ribosomal RNA (504 nucleotides) under uncultured bacterium. RNAcentral describes it as "partial 16S ribosomal RNA". It matches the Rfam family "Bacterial small subunit ribosomal RNA", at positions 29 to 523 of the family's 1533-position model. The record is from RNAcentral.